CCUGGGGAGCAACCGACAGGGCUUGGACGUUGGGCUGCCUGGGUGCCCCAACCCACAGCCCUCUGUUAUAGCCCAGCCUUCCUCCUGGGAGCUGCACUGGCUACCCAAAGCAGAAAACACUACAAAGGAUGAGGAAGAACAGCAACAAAACCAUAUUCAGCAGCCUAGGAGUAACAUAUACCAGGAAGGGCACACUGACCCAGCCAUGAAUUUGGGGUUUCACCUUCACUCACAUCACAAGCACAGAUGUGUGCUUCAGCAUUUGUGGCUUCAGGAUUGCUUCAGCUCCAGGUUGGAGCGGAGAUUGCCUUUUGCCUUUCUCAGUGUCCCAGUGGGGCGACUUGGGCUGUGGCUGCGUGGUUUGCAGUGUCACCCACAUGAAAAUUACAGCCCUUGCAAAUCACCACAGCCCAUCCAUUUCUUAAACAUCUCACUUGGCAGUGAAUGAUGGUGGCAGUGUCAGAAAGCAGCCCUUCGAGUAGCAUUUGUUAACAUUGCUGGGACAGCAGAUAAAUGAAUUCAGAUGCCACAGACAUGGUAAUCAUUUCUUUAAGAGGAAAGGCAAGGCUCCCAUGCUGGCUUACGAAGCAAGAACUUAACUUCUGUUUUGUUGACCCAGGGAGGACCCCAAGCACAAGGCAGAGCACCUCUGUGCGGCAGUGCUGGCCAUGCCUUGGGGCUGUCCUCUGCUGCUGCAGCUGCUGAAUUGCAUCUCUGAUGAGCUUGAUGCAAUUAACGGCACCCAUAGGUGCACCAGCCAAGGCCACCUGUCCUACAGGAGGAUCUCAGCUCCAGGGAGCUUCACGUGUUUUUGGUACAGCUUUUUUGUGAGGCGCUCAGCCCCAGGUGAACCAAAUCACCACAUCCGUUUGGGAGGGAACAAGGAGCUCUCAGCUCGAAAGCCAACACUCAGUAUUUGGGAGGCAGGGAGAUCUCAGCCCUGGAAACAAGUGCUGAAACUCACACCUGAACAUCUCUCAACUGAUGCCCAGUCACAAACCAAAGCAGGAACCCAAAAGCCAGGGCAAAGGAGCCCCAGAUGUGACAGCUUCAUGUGCUCAAGGCACCAGCAGAUGUGCUGUAAGGCCAGGGGGAGCACCACCCAUGCUUAUGGUUUCAUCCCAGGAGGCAGAACUUAAGAGAUGCCACAGAUGUCACGGUGGAAGCCAUCAACCCUCUCACACCUGGCUAGAGAUGCACUCACAAGCACCUUGUGCUCCUUCCCAGCAGCUCCCAAAGCAAUGUUAGAGCCUCCCCUGCCCAGCACAGAUGUGAUUCCUGCCUACUGCAGGCAGACGGCACACCUGGAGCCAGCCUUCAUGCUCCACCAGCUGUCAUUGACCUCAGUGACUCAGCCCCACUCUUGGUUUUGUUCCUGCUAUUGAACUCACCACCUAUUUCUCCUGUUUCCAGCCCAAACCAUCCUGCUGCACCGGGAAGCUGAAUUCCUCAGUGCUGCUGGGUAAGAGCUUGAGUUAGCACCAGCAGCUGCUACACAGCCCUGCCUUGCAUGGGGUUCUUCUCUCCCAAAGUUUGGGCGAUGGCAAACAAGUCACUGAAAUGGCCACAGAGUGAAAAGAGAAAGAAUGAAAGAACUGCCCUCAUUAAAAGUAUGGAGCAUCAACCAGGAUCUGAGCUCCAGACUCAGGAGACCCAGGCAACUUUCUGCUUGGAUGCCUGUUUCCUCUCUAUGAAAGACCAGGAUCAUCUUCAGAGGGAAGGAAAAGGGUUUGUUGCACGAUGUGGGCUCACAGCUGCUGCAGUGAGUCCUUGCAAGAAAGGUCUGCAGAGCACCUCCCUGCUUCCAGCAGCCUCUCCCAUGUAUGCCCAAGCAGGAAGAAAGGAAACUGCCAGCAUCCCUGGAAGAUACAGCCUCCUUUUCCAAACCACCUCCAGUUUGCAGUGCAGGCUGCAGAACGCACCCUGACCAGUGACCCCGAAGGCAUCUGCUGAGGGGCACCACAAGUUCCAAUCCUGCAAGCCUCUCAGCUGUUCUGAUCUGUCUUCAAAAGCUUUCCUGUGAAACAGAGCUGCAUAUAUAUUCAUACCCAGCUCUCAUCGUUCUGCUUCCAUCCUUGGAAGAACGCAAGCGUGAAUUCAACUCAAAGAUGCCAAAUUGGAGACGAGUAGAUAACUAAAGGCAGAGGAAUAACCCCACCUCGACCCCACCUUGGCUGGAUUGAGCUUUGGGCCAAAUCCUUGAUUCACCCUCAGUGAUUCCUGUCCUUGGACAAGGGACAGAGGCUCCAGGCCUUGCUCAGAGGAAACAGCCCGGAGGUAUGCAACAACCACAGAGAUGGGGCACCCAGGGACACGGUCAGUGGGCACAGUGGGGUUCAGCUGGACUUAGGGAUCUUCAUGGUCUUUUCCAACCUUAAAGAUUCUGUCAUCUGCACCCUCCUGGGUGCACGGUGAAGCCAAGCCUUGUAUCUUCCCUAUGCACGCACAGGAACGGCCUCUUGGGAAGCCACCUAUGGAUGCACAGCACCAGGAGAGGACAGAGCUUUGCAGUCGCCUCCACCUAUUCCCACCUGCCGCUCUUUCCAUCAUCAACCUUCCCACCGUGGAUUACUCCCAAGCACCUCUUGAUGGGGGAAUCCCCCCAAGCACUGAUCUGUGUGGCCACACAGGGUUAACUGCCCCACAGAGAUCCGUGCCCCCUCACCCCCCAGCACUGAAAACCACCCUCUAUUUCACCCAGAACCCCCCCCACUAUGGCAAAGGAGGGGACUCAGCCAUCACCACCUCACUGCGGUGUGCUCCCAGCCCCCCAGGACCACUCUCCUCACCCCAUGGAUGCACUCACACUCCAGUCCCAAACUCAGCACUGCCGGGCUGUUGCCAUUCUUGUUCCCAAAGCAACGGGACCGCCCAGCUGGGCCCACGUCACUGCCCUGGGGACGCUGCCAGGGAGGAGGUGGCCAUGGGAUGUGGCUGGGUGUGGGAUGCUCAGCGCUCACGACCCCACUGCUCAACAACCCAGCUGUGCUUCCCCCUUUCUUCCUAUUUUAUCCAUAACAAAAUAAAGGCACAGACAGUAGAGACA
This is a long non-coding RNA of Gallus gallus (chicken), 3046 nucleotides long. RefSeq lists it as uncharacterized. The record is from RefSeq and is a predicted model, not a curated record. NCBI's taxonomy places the organism in Eukaryota, Metazoa, Chordata, Aves, Galliformes, Phasianidae. The transcript has 2 exons.